UACGUAGGGUGCGAGCGUUAAUCGGAAUUACUGGGCGUAAAGCGUGCGCAGGCGGUUUUGCAAGUCCGAUGUGAAAUCCCCGGGCUUAACCUGGGAAUGGCAUUGGUGACUGCACGGCUAGAGUGUGUCAGAGGGGGGUAGAAUUCCACGUGUAGCAGUGAAAUGCGUAGAGAUGUGGAGGAAUACCGAUGGCGAAGGCAGCCCCCUGGGAUAACACUGACGCUCAUGCACGAAAGCGUGGGGAGCAAACAGG
This 253-nucleotide ribosomal RNA is filed under the name uncultured bacterium. RNAcentral describes it as "partial 16S ribosomal RNA". It matches the Rfam family "Bacterial small subunit ribosomal RNA", at positions 524 to 776 of the family's 1533-position model. The record is from RNAcentral.